GAUGAAGAACGUAGCGAAAUGCGAUAAGUAGUGUGAAUUGCAGAAUUCAAUGAAUCAUCGAAUCUUUGAACGCACAUUGCGCCCCUUGGUAUUCCAUGGGGCAUGCCUGUUCGAGCGUCAUUUGUACCUUCAAGCUUUGCUUGGUGUUGGGUGUUUGUCUCGCCUUUGCGUGUAGACUCGCCUUAAAAUAAUUGGCAGCCGGCGUAUUGAUUUCGGAGCGCAGUACAUCUCGCGCUUUGCACUCAUAACGACAGCGUCCAAAAGUACAUUUUACACUCUUGACCUCGGAUCAGGUAGGGAUACCCGCUGAACUUAAGCAUAUCAAUAAGCGGAGGA
Molecule: unclassified non-coding RNA, 336 nt
Filed under: soil metagenome
Description: partial contains 5.8S ribosomal RNA, internal transcribed spacer 2, and large subunit ribosomal RNA
Rfam family: 5.8S ribosomal RNA (bases 1-120)
Source: RNAcentral